RNAcentral lists this transfer RNA (72 nucleotides) under Schistosoma mansoni. The record is from RNAcentral. Lineage: Eukaryota; Metazoa; Platyhelminthes; Trematoda; Strigeidida; Schistosomatidae.
UUAUUAUUAUUAUCUAGUGAUUACAAACUACAUCACACAAAUUUGAAUUUUCCAUCAAACUAGAAAACAGCA